AGUCGAACGAGAAAGCCUUCGGGUGAGUAAAGUGGCGCACGGGUGAGUAACACGUAGAUAACCUACCCUUAAGUUGGGGACAACAUCGGGAAACCGGUGCUAAUACCGAAUGUGAAAGUAAUUUUAAAGGUGGCUUCGGCUAUCGCUUGAGGAAGGGUCUGCGCGACAUUAGCUUGAUGGUGGGGUAAUGGCCUACCAUGGCUACGAUGUCUAGCUGGUCUGAGAGGAUGAUCAGCCACACUGGAACUGAGACACGGUCCAGACUCCUACGGGAGGCAGCAGUAGGGAAUAUUGCGCAAUGGGGGAAACCCUGACGCAGCAACGCCGCGUGAGUGAGGAAGGUCUUCGGAUUGUAAAGCUCUGUCCUAAGGGAAGAACCGCCAUAUGGUUAAUACCAAUAUGGUCUGACGGUACCUUAGAAGAAAGCACCGGCUAACUUCGUGCCAGCAGCCGCGGUAAUACGAAGGGUGCAAGCGUUGUUCGGAUUUAUUGGGCGUAAAGCGCGCGCAGGCGGAUAAUCAAGUCAGAUGUGAAAUCUCGGAGCUCAACUCCGAAACUGCGUCUGAAACUGAUAAUCUAGAAUCUUGGAGGGGGCAGGGGAAUUUCUCAUGUAGGGGUAAAAUCCGUAGAGAUGAGAAGGAACACCAGAGGCGAAGGCGCCUGCCUGGACAAGUAUUGACGCUGAGGCGCGAAAGCGUG
This 699-nucleotide ribosomal RNA is filed under the name uncultured delta proteobacterium. Its description in RNAcentral is "bacterial SSU rRNA". It matches the Rfam family "Bacterial small subunit ribosomal RNA", at positions 60 to 763 of the family's 1533-position model. The record is from RNAcentral. Lineage: Bacteria; Deltaproteobacteria.